AACCCUAUCAUGCUUACUAACUAUGUACUUUAGGAUAUAUUUUUACCAAUUACUUCCACUCGUACCUUCAAGCACAGCACCAGCUGGAAUCACUAGGAAUGAAGUGUUAGUGCACAUACAGCAAUCAGGUGGUCUUCAAGUGAAUUUGCCAGAGAAAUGGCAGCCUGUGGUUACAGUCCUGACUGCCAGCAAUACCACUGCAGAUCAAGGUACUGAAGUUGUGCUACAAGUGGGUCAAUGAUGCCAACCACAGUUUUGGUGCUUACAGGAUUAUGUGAAUUUUCUUUGAGGAGCUGUCCUAACAUCCUAGUGUUGAGCUAAAGUUAAUUUCCCUUUAUAUACUCUUGAUAUUGCCUUUAUAAUACCCUUUAUUGCUUUGUUAAUUAUUAUUGUAUAACCAAUAUCCAUUUUAGGUUUCUUAAAUAACUGUGUAAGUUAGCCUUAGUUGAGAAUCCAUUUUGAUUUUUACAUUGCUUAGCAUAAGUGUGACAGUCAUUUUGGUUUGUGAUUUUGUAGGUUAAACAUAGUAUAAGAGAAGUAGUGUGUAUGCAAGGUUGUGGUAUGUCUGGGUUGUUUGAAAAGAGGUAAUGAAAGAAUAAACAAUAUGUGUGGAAAUGCAU
This is a long non-coding RNA of Gavialis gangeticus (Gharial), 620 nucleotides long. RefSeq lists it as uncharacterized. The record is from RefSeq and is a predicted model, not a curated record. The transcript is spliced from 3 exons. Lineage: Eukaryota; Metazoa; Chordata; Crocodylia; Gavialidae.